AUGUUUCCCUUUUAUGCAGGUAUGCAAUGGCAAGCCCUUCCGUGUGUUCCAAAGACAAUGCCUACGCCUAGCCACAGCAGCUCCCUCAUACAGACUCCGCAAGCCAAGAGGCCGUGGAGGCAAAUGCAGGCAGCCAGCACACCUCGAACAGCCACCUUGACUGCGGGUGUGUCACCCUAGUCGCCAAGGAAACAUUUGAGGGAAAGCGACAGGCAAUGUGAACAGCCACUUCUCCAUGUAAACAAUACUCUUUCUCUCGGACGA
RNAcentral lists this long non-coding RNA (264 nucleotides) under Dermacentor andersoni. Its description in RNAcentral is "uncharacterized LOC126520213". Lineage: Eukaryota; Metazoa; Arthropoda; Arachnida; Ixodida; Ixodidae. The record is from RNAcentral.